CCUACGGGUGGCUGCAGUAGGGAAUUUUGCGCAAUGGGCGAAAGCCUGACGCAGUAACGCCGCGUGAUCGAGACGCCCUCCGGGGUGUAAAGAUCUGUCAGUGGGGACGAAACUUGACGGUACCUACAGAGGAAGCACCGGCUAACUCCGAGCCAGCAGCGGCGGUAAUACGGGGGGUGCAAGCGUUGUCCGGAAUCAUCGGGCGUAAAGAGGGCGUAGGCGGCACGUAAAGACUGGUGUGAAAGGCAGAGGCUCAACUUCUGUACGGCACUGGAUACUUGCGAGCUAGAGUGCGGUCAAGGUAGAGGGAAUUCCUGGUGUAGCGGUGAAAUGCUUAGAUAUCAGGAGGAACAUCGGUGGCGUAGGCGCUUUACUGGGGCGUAAUUGACGCUGAGGAACGAAGGCCAGGGUAGCAAAUGGGAUUAGAUACCCCUGUAGUC
RNAcentral lists this ribosomal RNA (440 nucleotides) under uncultured bacterium. RNAcentral's name for it is "partial 16S ribosomal RNA". It matches the Rfam family "Bacterial small subunit ribosomal RNA", at positions 338 to 795 of the family's 1533-position model. The record is from RNAcentral.